Molecule: ribosomal RNA, 433 nt
Filed under: uncultured bacterium
Lineage: Bacteria
Description: partial 16S ribosomal RNA
Rfam family: Bacterial small subunit ribosomal RNA
Source: RNAcentral
AACGAACGCUGGCGGCAGGCCUAACACAUGCAAGUCGAGCGAGGACUUCGGUUCUAGCGGCGGACGGGUGAGUAACGCGUGGGAGUGUGCCCUUCUCUACGGAAUAGCCCUGGGAAACUGGGAGUAAUACCGUAUACGCCCUAUUGGGGAAAGAUUUAUCGGAGAAGGAUCAGCCCGCGUUGGAUUAGGUAGUUGGUGGGGUAAUGGCCUACCAAGCCGACGAUCCAUAGCUGGUUUGAGAGGAUGAUCAGCCACACUGGGACUGAGACACGGCCCAGACUCCUACGGGAGGCAGCAGUGGGGAAUCUUAGACAAUGGGGGCAACCCUGAUCUAGCCAUGCCGCGUGAGUGAUGAAGGCCUUAGGGUUGUAAAGCUCUUUCAGCUGGGAAGAUAAUGACGGUACCAGCAGAAGAAGCCCCGGCUAACUCCGUG